AGAGUUUGAUCCUGGCUCAGAGCGAACGCUGGCGGCGUGCUUAACACAUGCAAGUCGAACGCGCAGCAUUCUGUAGCAAUACGGGGUGUGGGCGCGUGGCGAACGGGUGCGUAACACGUGAAUAACCUUCCUUCAGGUGGGGAAUAACCCAGUGAAAAUUGGGCUAAUACCGCAUAACAUGACGAUGGCACAUGCUGUUGUCUUCAAAGGCGCAAGUCGCCAGAAGAGGGAUCCGCGGCCGAUUAGCUUGUUGGCGAGGUAAUGGCUCACCAAGGCAUUGAUCGGUAGCCGGACUGAGAGGUUGACCGGCCACACUGGAACUGAGACACGGUCCAGACUCCUACGGGAGGCAGCAGUGGGGAAUCUUGCACAAUGGACGAAAGUCUGAUGCAGCAACGCCGCGUGGGGGAUGAAGCUUCUCGGAGUGUAAACCCCUUUCGACCCGGAAGAAUGCCCGCAAGGGUUUGACGGUACGGGUAUAAGAAGCCCCGGCUAACUACGUGCCAGCAGCCGCGGUAAUACGUAGGGGGCCAGCGUUGCUCGGAAUUACUGGGCGUAAAGGGUCCGUAGGCGGUCGCGGCAAGUCGAGAGUGAAAUCCCUAGGCUUAACCUAGGGGCUGCUAGCGAAACUGCCGUGCUAGAGUGUGAGAGAGGCGCAGUGGAAUUACGGGUUGUAAGCGGCUGGAAAUGCGUAGAUAUUCCGUUAGGAAACAUCC
This 716-nucleotide ribosomal RNA is filed under the name uncultured bacterium. Its description in RNAcentral is "bacterial SSU rRNA". It matches the Rfam family "Bacterial small subunit ribosomal RNA", at positions 8 to 713 of the family's 1533-position model. The record is from RNAcentral.